RNAcentral lists this transfer RNA (76 nucleotides) under Rhodospirillales bacterium. Its description in RNAcentral is "tRNA-Arg". It matches the Rfam family "tRNA". Rfam says of the family: Transfer RNA (tRNA) molecules are approximately 80 nucleotides in length. Their secondary structure includes four short double-helical elements and three loops (D, anti-codon, and T loops). Lineage: Bacteria; Pseudomonadati; Pseudomonadota; Alphaproteobacteria; Rhodospirillales. The record is from RNAcentral.
GCGCCCGUAGCUCAAUGGAUAGAGCGUCUGACUACGGAUCAGGAGGUUAGGGGUUCGAGUCCUCUCGGGCGCGCCA